RNAcentral lists this transfer RNA (80 nucleotides) under Podarcis lilfordi (Lilford's wall lizard). RNAcentral describes it as "tRNA.Ala". The stretch from base 6 to 61 matches the Rfam family "tRNA", at positions 8 to 63 of the family's 71-position model. From Rfam's summary of the family: Transfer RNA (tRNA) molecules are approximately 80 nucleotides in length. Their secondary structure includes four short double-helical elements and three loops (D, anti-codon, and T loops). Further hydrogen bonds mediate the characteristic L-shaped molecular structure. tRNAs have two regions of fundamental functional importance: the anti-codon, which is responsible for specific mRNA codon recognition, and the 3' end, to which the tRNAs corresponding amino acid is attached (by aminoacyl-tRNA synthetases). tRNAs cope with the degeneracy of the genetic code in two manners: having more than one tRNA (with a specific anti-codon) for a particular amino acid; and 'wobble' base-pairing, i.e. permitting non-standard base-pairing at the 3rd anti-codon position. The record is from RNAcentral. Lineage: Eukaryota; Metazoa; Chordata; Lepidosauria; Squamata; Lacertidae.
GGCCAUAGCUCAUUGGUAGAGCAUCUGCUUUGCAUGCAGAAGGUCCAAGGUUCAACCCUCAGCUUCUCCAGGUAGGGCUG